AUCCAGCUGAUGAGUUCCAAAUGGGACGAAACGCUCGUCCUGGAU
RNAcentral lists this non-coding RNA (45 nucleotides) under Schistosoma margrebowiei. Lineage: Eukaryota; Metazoa; Platyhelminthes; Trematoda; Strigeidida; Schistosomatidae. The record is from RNAcentral.